AAAAGUUUAGAACAAUAAACCAUCUCUGUGUCGUUACAAAAUUUCUUCUCCACUCCCGAGACUGCUAGCCUAGCUGCUCAUGAAGUAGUCCCUUUCUAUUCCUCUAUGCAAGGCUCUAGAAGAAUUUCUGGGCUCCCCCUCUAAUGGGAGUACAAAAAUCUUUUUAUAGGUGUUAGGAGGGAAGAGUUUUACAUGAUUUUCCGAUGUGGGACUAAAGAAAAUACAAAUCUUUCCUUUCAAAAUAUUUCUAAAUAUUAAAUAAGUAUUUGUUUGACUGCCAUCAAAAAUUUCUUGUGAACCCAUC
RNAcentral lists this long non-coding RNA (304 nucleotides) under Elaeis guineensis (African oil palm). RNAcentral's name for it is "long non-coding RNA (EGUI_LNC058662)". Lineage: Eukaryota; Viridiplantae; Streptophyta; Magnoliopsida; Arecales; Arecaceae. The record is from RNAcentral.